GCCAGUCUCCCGGCUUACGUAAGGCGCGAGUCCCGCGCGCCCGGCCGGGGCUCCGAGUGGGGGCGGGCGGAGGCGGCGCCGCCCAGCGGGAUCCGGGCUGGAAGCCUAGCGGAGUGCCGCGUCCCGGCCGAGGUGUGUGUUUAUUUGGCCACUCGGGGUGGAGAGGCGCCGGUCUCCGGCUCCUCGCGGCGGGAAGCGCAUCCGUCUCCCCUCGGCGGAGGGGCGGCGGCGAGUCCCCGCGGGAGCCCAGGGUGUCAGAAGCAGGGGCAGAAGCAACAAAGUUCCCGGGUUGUGUCCGAGGCCGCGGUCUGGGUUGCUCGUUCGGCCUCCCCUUCCUCACCAAGGCAAUGGCUUCCAAACUCCUGCGCGCGGUCAUCCUUGGGCCGCCCGGCUCGGGCAAGGGCACCGUGUGCCAGAGGAUCGCCCAGAACUUUGGCCUCCAGCAUCUCUCCAGCGGCCACUUCCUGCGGGAGAACAUCAAGGCCAACACGGGUAAGGGGGUGCGGGGGUGAGGGGCGGGGUGAGCCGACGCGGGAUCGGGUGAGGCCGGGAGGCGAAGGGCUAGCGAGCGGCUGGGUCUCUUCGGUCCCCGGGCGCCCUUCCCCCGCCCGAGUGUGGUCGUGCAAGCUCCUACGUGCCGGGGCGCAUGCAGCCGGGUGCCCGCGGCUGUGCGGCUUAACCGCGCCCGGGGAGGAGGCCGAGGCUGGCUGGCAGAGGGUGGAAGUGCACGGGGCCACUCUCUCCGCCUGGGCUCCUCUUGCCGUGGGGAAAAGCCGGUGACUACCCUGCUAAGUGAGCGAGAUCCAGACAGCUGAAAACCCCGAGCUUCCUUCUCGCCCUGCUUCCUUAAGGCCAAGCCAUCCCCGCCCCUUGGCCGUCUCCCGCCCCCUCCUCCGCGUCUCUGGGGACCUGCAGCGCCCCCUUCUCUCGGCAAAGCCCCCAUGGGCCGAGCGCCGCCCACCUGUGGGAGUCGGGCACGGCCGCGCGCUGGGGAACCUGUGGCGCUGCGGGGCUCGCAGCCACGCGCCGCUUCGGGCCUCGGGGCAGAGCCCUAGGUGGCUUUGAAAGGCCUGUCUGUUCGCUGCAGCCUUCUAAGGUAAACUCUCACCACUAACUCCCCCUCCUCCCCAAGCCCGGGCUUGGCCCUUGGGAGACUGGAUCAUGUUAAAUCCAGCUUCCCUGGAUGUGUCUUGUUGAGAAUGACUCCCACGGCUUGCGUGGUGCACUUGGAGCUCCAAGACCGCCCGCUCUUAUCUUUCAGCGCGGCCCUUCUCACAUCUCUUCCCACCCCUCGCUCACACCAGUUCCUGAUGAAUUGGCAUUAAAAGGCGCGAGGUAGCUGU
This 1343-nucleotide long non-coding RNA is filed under the name Sus scrofa (pig). RNAcentral describes it as "lncRNA (ENSSSCG00040058990.1)". Lineage: Eukaryota; Metazoa; Chordata; Mammalia; Artiodactyla; Suidae. The record is from RNAcentral.